Xenia sp. Carnegie-2017 is the source of this 1444-nucleotide long non-coding RNA. RefSeq lists it as uncharacterized. The transcript has 2 exons. Lineage: Eukaryota; Metazoa; Cnidaria; Anthozoa; Malacalcyonacea; Xeniidae. The record is from RefSeq and is a predicted model, not a curated record.
GAAAUUAGCAAGUCGAUUGAUUUAAUGAUAAUCGACUCGAAAAUGAUGAAGUCUUUUCCGAAAGACAAUCAGAUAUGGAGUUUCUAGAUGACAGUGAUCAAUCCGACAGUGAACUUUCAUUUUACAGACAAGUGGAUCAACAGAUAUAAUGCCAAUGCAGACUAAGGUUGUUUGACACAUUUCUACACAGGACAAGGCUGACGAUGAUUGAACACAAUACGCAGUCAUUUCUUUGUGAUCGGUAUGUACAGAGGGGAAACAGCGACGACAAUUGUGAACUAUGCAAUACAUCAGCAUUAUACAGACAAAUAUGGAAACUAACGUAGAAGGAACCAACACAUAAAAGUUGACAGUUUUUUCUUUCGCUGGUGGAACAAAAUACAUAAACGAUGAAGGCGAUACCAUUGAUUCUGACUGUGAUGGUGAUAACGACAAGGAGGGUGAUGAAUGUAAAGACGAAGACGACAGCUGCGAAUGAAACGGUGGUGAUGUUGAUGAUGAGAGUGGUGGUAACAGUGGUAAUAACGACAACAGGGGUGAUGACUUUGAAGUUGAAAAUGAUAUCACUGAAUGUGGAGGUGUUGAUGACGUUGACGGCGACAACAGCAAAGAUGUAGACGAUAAUAACAGCGACUGUGAUGAAGUUGAAAUGGAGGUUGACAUGUUAAAAAAAAUCAGCGAGGGAUGAACAUAAAACUUUCGGAGGGACGACGGAACGUGCGAUGAUUUACAUGUGUUGGACAUAAUCAACGACGAUGGAAAAGGAGAAAAACUGACGAACGACUGAGGUAAACGAUUUCUUGUGGCUGACGUACACGAAAAAAGUGGUGUCACAGACGAAAAUGAGUUCACAGGCGUCAAAUACAAAUCUUUUUUUCUGGUUGGACACGGAUCAUACAACACAUUUAACAUUGAGAAAUUUACAGGACAGGACAGAGGUUUUUCACGUAAAUCAAUGUACAUAAGUCUUGGGUACGCACGAAUAACAUCAAGUUCAUUCACAGCUUUAAUGUUGUUUCGUCUCAACGACAAAAUCCUUAUUCGUGUAUUUUUUACCGUUCCGACAGGAACAUGCUUCAGAUUCAUGUUAGAACAAUCUAACAUACGAUAUCGCUUCACAUAACCACAUUUUUCACCAUGGGUUGCACAUGCCGUCAUAAAAAAAAAAAACAUGCAGACAGCAAGGAAUUCAUUAUGGCAAUUGGAAAAGUUACAAACAACUCUUGUGAACUAUGAAUGUAGUUACAAAAUGAAUGAACGAUUAAAAGGCACGCCUAUGCUUGUGAGGAUUUUAAAGUAAAACCCUCAAGUGCUUUUUAAAAUUUUCUGUCAUAAAUAUAUGCUUGAGUAAGACUUGUUCAUAUGUAAUCAAAGAGACUUUGUUGUUUGAUUGAUGUAGAUAAUUAGAAAAAUAUUUAAUAAAAAUUGCUCAAUGUCCAAUGUA